GAAACGAAGCACCAGCUCGCUCGCACUCAGUCGCCAGAGCAGAGCAUCAGCCCAUCACAGCACCCAAAAUACCGCAAAGCCACGAGCGCACGCGCGUGCACUUGCACUCAUGGGGGCGAGGCAGCACGGUGGGAGAGGGGAUAUGUCGACGACCACGAGGUCGAGGCUGGCGGCGGCGGCGGACAUGGCGUCGUGAUGCUUCGCUCUGUCGGCGCUGGCGGCCCUGCUGAUGGUGUGCUCGCUCGGGGAGGCGGAGGCGGUCACUGUGCGUGGCGCGUCGCUGGCGGCGGGGUGGCGGCCGUGCGAGGAGAUGUACGUGGUGGCGGAGGGCGAGACGCUGCACGGCAUCAGCGACCGGUGCGGCGACCCCUACAUCCUGGAGCGCAACCCGCACGUCCACGACCCCGACGACGUCUUCCCCGGGCUCGUCCUCAGGAUCACGCCCUCCAGCCCGAGGCCGUCCGUCCCCGUUAGCCCCCCGUAGGUAGACCAAGGAAAAAGAAGAGUUUGAUUGUUCUGCAGAAUCAUUCGAGUUCGCUACGACGAACUCUGAUUUACGAGCAACCUCGGUACUCCCAGUACUAGUACACAGUUCACUGAUGGAUGAUAUAUAAGCCUCGUUCAUGAUAA
Molecule: RNA transcript, 630 nt
Organism: Aegilops tauschii subsp. strangulata
Lineage: Eukaryota; Viridiplantae; Streptophyta; Magnoliopsida; Poales; Poaceae
Source: RefSeq, a predicted model, not a curated record